ACAUGCAAGUCGAACGAGAACUAAUACUUCGGUGUAAGACGGAGGGGUAACCGGUAGGUAUCUUCCCUUUGAUCUGCCUUUGACGGGGGACCUUGUGCAAAAAUGGGUGCUAUCAUUGCGUAUAACCUUUUAUGCACCGGCUUCGGACGCUCUUAUUGGUUACCGCGUUGGAUUAGUUUGGUGCUAAGGUAACUUUGAUCAAUAGCUGAUUUGGUAGGAUGAUUUGACAGGUUGAUCCUGAGACACGGCCCAGACUCCUACGCCAGACUCCUACGGGAAAUCUUGCAGAAUGAAGGAAACUCUGGUGCAAAAGCCCGUUGCAGACGCGCUUGGAGCACGAGUGAAGCCUAACCUGUGAGGAACUCGUUGACUUGGCAUCAUCCCCGCCUUCCUCGGGUUAAACACCCCGGGUUUCCCCAGGGCGCUCGCCCGAAUCAUACGGAAGUAAGGAGCGGUGUUGGGAAUUAUGCGGCGUUUAACCCACGAUCUCGGGUAAUCAGCUGACGACAGAAAUGCCAGACCUUAACUCUGGAACUGCCAUCUGAACUGAUUGAUCUCUAAUUGCCACAACAUAAUGUGAUUCCUACUGUAAAGGUUAAUCUCGUAGAUAUUGAUAAAAACACCUGCGCCAACGGUUGUUUUCUGCGCCGUUUCUGACUCUGAGGUUCAAUCGUGCGACCGGACUCCCCAAGUAGAUAGCUUGGUGCUCUACCUACUACACGAAGAACGAUAUACCGACGACUAUAACUCUCCGUGUACGACGUGAAGUAUUAGCUAUCUAACCGUGUAUGAUACCCACGCUAUCAAACCUCAGCGGCAUAGAUGGCCCACAGCAUCAGCCGUCGCAGCAGGUGUUCUAUCUCAAUCUCUACGAGUAUCACCUCUACACUAUGAGAUCUGCUAUGCUCUGCAUUUCACAAAUCAAACCCUUCAGAUUUGCUGUACCUAGUACAGCUCCGGCAUGUCUGUCCUCACCUCAUGACCCGCUACUUGCGCUUUAGCCCCAAAAGAUCCGCAGCACCGUUGCUCCCUGCGUACUGACUCGUUACUGCUCUGGGAUACUCCCCAGCUACUACCGGAGUACGUCGUAUGUCCCUAGCCCAUCAUGUUUCUCUACCCGUAGGGCCUACUUCCCUGCCUGCAAUGAUU
This 1149-nucleotide ribosomal RNA is filed under the name uncultured bacterium. RNAcentral describes it as "partial 16S ribosomal RNA". The record is from RNAcentral.